This 466-nucleotide ribosomal RNA is filed under the name uncultured bacterium. RNAcentral describes it as "partial 16S ribosomal RNA". It matches the Rfam family "Bacterial small subunit ribosomal RNA", at positions 28 to 507 of the family's 1533-position model. The record is from RNAcentral.
GAUGAACGCUGGCGGCGUGCUUAACACAUGCAAGUCGAACGAUGAAGCCCAGCUUGCUGGGUGGAUUAGUGGCGAACGGGUGAGUAACACGUGAGUAACCUGCCCUUAACUCUGGGAUAAGCCUGGGAAACUGGGUCUAAUACCGGAUAGGAGCGUCCACCGCAUGGUGGGUGUUGGAAAAAUUUAUCGGUUUUGGAUGGACUCGCGGCCUAUCAGCUUGUUGGUGAGGUAAUGGCUCACCAAGGCGACGACGGGUAGCCGGCCUGAGAGGGUGACCGGCCACACUGGGACUGAGACACGGCCCAGACUCCUACGGGAGGCAGCAGUGGGGAAUAUUGCACAAUGGGCGAAAGCCUGAUGCAGCGACGCCGCGUGAGGGAUGACGGCCUUCGGGUUGUAAACCUCUUUCAGUAGGGAAGAAGCGAAAGUGACGGUACCUGCAGAAGAAGCACCGGCUAACUACGUG